GGUUGGAACUGCGUUUUCUUGAUCUGCAUACCAUUCGAAGCCAUAACCAUCUUUAACAUAAUAAUUUCUCGUCAUCCACCUAGUUACCAUAUCCUUCUCGUAUAUUGAACAUAAUAAUUCAUAAUUAAAUUAUUAUUUUAUAGUUUAAAAUUAUGUUUUAUGAUUGAUAAACUGAUUAAUUCAUUUUUAUAAAUUAAUAAUUUAUAGUAUAAAAUUAGUUUAUUUGUACAUAUGUAAAUGAUUGGUUUUAUGUAUAUAUUGAGUGGUUAUAAUUUAAUUUAUGGAUUAUAAUUUAGUUACCUAUUUAUAUUUUAAGGUUUAGGCCCUAAUUGGCAGAGCAUUAGCAUUAGCGGAAGCAGUAUGCUAUAGAAGCAGUGUGCUGCAAGACCUGUAUGUUUUUGCUAACUGUUUAAUAUGAUGAUUGGUAGAGCAGUAUGAGUAUGCUAUUUAAAAUUAUUAUAAAAAUUAGUAUAUAAUAUAUAAUAUAUCUAUUUU
RNAcentral lists this long non-coding RNA (495 nucleotides) under Brassica napus (rape). Its description in RNAcentral is "long non-coding RNA (BNAP_LNC009802)". Lineage: Eukaryota; Viridiplantae; Streptophyta; Magnoliopsida; Brassicales; Brassicaceae. The record is from RNAcentral.